UACGUAGGUGGCAAGCGUUAUCCGGAUUUAUUGGGCGUAAAGAGAACACAGGCGGUCUUUUAAGUCUGAUGUGAAAGCCUUCGGCUUAACCGGAGUAGUGCAUUGGAAACUGGGAGACUUGAGUGCAGAAGAGGAGAGUGGAACUCCAUGUGUAGCGGUGAAAUGCGUAGAUAUUAGGAGGAACACCAGUGGCGAAGGCGGCUUACUGGACGGCAACUGACGCUGAGGCUCGAAAGCGUGGGGAGCAAACAGG
RNAcentral lists this ribosomal RNA (253 nucleotides) under uncultured bacterium. RNAcentral describes it as "partial 16S ribosomal RNA". It matches the Rfam family "Bacterial small subunit ribosomal RNA", at positions 524 to 776 of the family's 1533-position model. The record is from RNAcentral.